UACGAAGGGGGCUAGCGUUGCUCGGAAUCACUGGGCGUAAAGGGUGCGUAGGCGGGUUUUUAAGUCAGGGGUGAAAUCCUGGAGCUCAACUCCAGAACUGCCUUUGAUACUGAAAAUCUUGAGUAUGGGAGAGGUGAGUGGAACUGCGAGUGUAGAGGUGAAAUUCGUAGAUAUUCGCAAGAACACCAGUGGCGAAGGCGGCUCACUGGCCCAUUACUGACGCUGAGGCACGAAAGCGUGGGGAGCAAACAGG
RNAcentral lists this ribosomal RNA (253 nucleotides) under uncultured bacterium. RNAcentral describes it as "partial 16S ribosomal RNA". It matches the Rfam family "Bacterial small subunit ribosomal RNA", at positions 524 to 776 of the family's 1533-position model. The record is from RNAcentral.